RNA transcript from Catharus ustulatus (Swainson's thrush), 3171 nucleotides. It is a transcript of the gene named FLVCR heme transporter 2, with no coding region annotated. Lineage: Eukaryota; Metazoa; Chordata; Aves; Passeriformes; Turdidae. The transcript has 12 exons. The record is from RefSeq and is a predicted model, not a curated record.
CGUGCCGGGCCGGGUCGGGUGCGGCCCACGGUGCCGGCAUGGUGUUGCAGGAGCCCGCCGGGGUGCCGAGUCCGUCGGCUGCAGCGGGAGGGCUCGGUGAUGCCGCCGCCGAGGUACAGCUGUCCCGGCUUCGCUGGGCCGUGCUGCUGCUCUUCAGCAGCUACUCCCUGUGCAACGCCUUCCAGUGGAUCCAGUACGGCAGCAUCAACAACAUCUUCGUGCGCUUCUACGACGUGAGCGCCUUCGCCAUCGACUGGCUUUCCAUGAGCUACAUGCUCAUCUACAUCCCCCUGCUCUUCCCUGUCGCCUGGCUGCUGGACAAGAGGGGCCUGCGCCUCAUCGCCCUGGCUGGCUCGGCCCUCAAUGCCAUGGGUGCCUGGGUGAAGCUGGGCAGCCUGAAGCCGCACCUCUUCCCUGUCACUGUCCUGGGGCAGGUCAUCUGUGGCCUGGCUCAGGUCUUCAUCCUGGGCAUGCCCUCACGCAUCGCCUCGGUCUGGUUUGGCUCUCACGAGGUCUCCACCGCCUGUUCCAUUGCAGUCUUUGGGAACCAGCUUGGCAUCGCUGCAGGCUUUCUGGUCCCUCCAGUUCUGGUCCCUAAUGUGGAGGAUGAGGAGAAGCUGGCCUACCACAUCAGCAUCAUGUUCUUCAUGAUUGCAGGUGUGGCAUCAGCCCUGUUCAUCCUAGUCAUCAUAGUUUUCAAGGAGAAGCCCCCAAACCCUCCAAGCCGAGCUCAGGCCUCGAUCCAGUCAAGACCGACUUCAGAGUAUUCCUACGUGCAAUCAAUCCUCCGCCUGCUCCGCAAUAUCAACUUUUUGCUGCUUAUGGUCACUUAUGGUCUGAAUGUAGGUUGUUUCUACGCCUUGUCCACUCUGCUGAACCGCAUGGUGAUCCAUCACUACCCAGGGGAGGAGGUGAAUGCUGGCAGGAUUGGACUCACCAUUAUACUGUCGGGGAUGGUUGGGGCUCUGAUCUCCGGCAUCUGGUUGGACAAAACCAAAACCUACAAGCAAACAACACUAGUUGUCUAUAUCAUGUCUCUGGUCGGAAUGAUAAUCUAUACCUUCACUCUGAGCCUGGGCCACCUCUGGGUGGUCUUUGUGACUGCUGGGUUGCUGGGGUUUUUCAUGACAGGAUACCUUCCCCUGGGCUUCGAGUUUGCUGCAGAGUUGACAUACCCAGAAUCAGAAGGAACAUCAUCAGGGCUCCUUAAUGUCUCAGCCCAGAUUUUUGGUAUUGCCUUCACCAUUGGCCAAGGGCAAAUCAUGGAUCGCUUUGGGACAAGGGCAGGAAACCUCCUGCUUUGUUCUGUCCUGUUCCUGGGGACUGUUAUGACAGCAUUCAUUAAGGCUGAUCUCCGAAGACAACAGGCCAAUUUGGAAAAUGAACAGACAAGACUCCAAGGCAGCAAUCAGAUCACGGAUUAUGGGACUGUAGCUUCUAACCCUAACCCCAUCAAUUCCCACUCCUGCUCACUAGCUUAAACACACCAAGAUUGUGUAAGAGCCUACUCAAAAUGAGACUGUUUCAUAUCUCUUGCUUCCAUGCUGCCUGGAUUUCUCUUGAACUGCAUGGGGGAUGUGAACUUCUUUCCUGUGCACCUCUGAUUUCUGCCUCAGAUGUCAGUCUUGCCCUACAAAAGUGUUGCCAGAAGCCUACACUAAUCCCAUAGUCCUUGAGGAAUCACGGCUGUGAAAUUAAGGGGUGGCAAAGCUGGGAGAUACAGCCCCCCUCAUUCCCAUCUUUUCUAUGUGCAUCAUCCUCUUGUGACAUGCACCCCAUGGGAGGGGGCAGCCUCAGGACAGGAACCCUAUGAACUGCUUGUGGAGAGUAUGAAAUAGCAAAACAAGAGGGGAGUUGCCUUCUUCAGUUUUAUCUUUGCAUCUUGCUGUUUUGGUGUUUGGGAGGAAAAGUUGGGAAAAUCUGCUGUGUCCCCUCCAGUCCCACCAUGUGUGCUUGGAAAAAGCACAUGUGCUGAGAGAAAAGCAACAGUACCAGGCUAACCCUGAGCAUGAUGGUGGUACCUUGCAUGUGGCUGUGACAUGAAAGGCAGAAGCUGGACCACACCUACUGUGAGCAGCCCUGGAAGAGCUGGCUCUAGGGAAAAGGAUUGCUCUGUCUUGGUUCCCAUUAUGCUCUGUGUUGCACAGGUAGUAGCAGAGAUCUCAGUACAUUACCAGCAAGUGCAAAGCAAUGCAUCAGCUGCUGCCAGCUCUUUUAUUAUUUGGCUUUCCCAGAUGAAGCACUCUAAAUCUGGAUAAACUUCUGCUCAGAAUUCACUGAGGUUGUCCUGAUAUUACUACAUAGUAGGAGUAAUUAAGAGAUACUUCUUACUCGAGGCAAGGACUAGUUCUGCAGCCUAAAUCUAGCUCAUCACUACAUUAGCAAUAAAAGUGAGUCAAACUACACUUUCCCUGGGUUGAGAACUCUGUCUUCCUCCUUAACAAUAAAGUGCCUUUUGCAUGUUUCAACACUACAGAAAAACUUUUGUGAAGUGUUAUAUUGAGAAAACCAGCCAAGGCUGUGUUGCUCUUCACAGCUACAGAGAGGGGUAUGAUGGGAAUCCAGCUUUGCUCCAGUGGAAGUUUCCUACUUCAUAAUAGAGAACAGGAGAAGGUACCCACUUACUAGCAUUUGUGUUGUAUAGACACUGCCCAUCUGUAUGCUGUUUAUCUUCUAAACACAACUGUAGAUCCUUUUAUCACUUCUCCAUCCUUCCCAGCAUCCCACCUCUGCUGGAGACACCAAGUGUCCUUAUAUGCCUUAAAUCAAGCAGCUACUGAUGUAUUAUUUGAGGCAGGAACAAAAUCUGUACUGAGGUGGAAUGAUUAAAAAUACUCCUCUCUGACAAACUGUUUUUGACAAAACAUUUUUUUUGAACUUUUUUUGGAUACACUACAUUUUGAUACUGCCUGAGCUCAGUAAGUGCUUAGACAACACUCUUAGGCACAUUGUAUGAUUCUUAGGGGUCCUGUGCAGGGCCAGGUGUUGGACUGUGAUCCUGAUAAAUUUCUUCCCAUUCAGCAUAUUCUAUGAUUGAAGUCCUUUCUUUGAGAGCCUGGGAUUGAGGAAUGGGGGGUUUAGAAUGAUUUUCAAUAGAAAUUUCAAUGUAAACUAUACACAUUUGAAGUGUAAAAUGAAAUCUGACACAUUAAUAUUAAAUGGUUGAAAACA